This 309-nucleotide ribosomal RNA is filed under the name uncultured bacterium. RNAcentral describes it as "bacterial SSU rRNA". It matches the Rfam family "Bacterial small subunit ribosomal RNA", at positions 30 to 332 of the family's 1533-position model. The record is from RNAcentral.
AUUGAACGCUGGCGGCAUGCCUAACACAUGCAAGUCGAACGGUAACAGGCCCUUCGGGUGGCUGACGAGUGGCGGAUGGGUGAGUAAUACUUAGGAAUCUACCCUGUAGUGGGGGACGAACCCGGGGAAACGUACGGGCGUAAUACCGCAUACGCUCUACGGAGGAAAGACGGGGGACCGGCAAGGCCUCGCGCUAUUGGAUGAGCCUAAGCCCGAUUAGCUAGUUGGUGGGGUAAGUAGCCUACCAAGGCAAUGAUCGGUAGCUGGUCUGAGAGGACGACCAGCCACACUGGGACUGAGACACGGCCC